RNAcentral lists this long non-coding RNA (493 nucleotides) under Homo sapiens (human). RNAcentral describes it as "non-protein coding lnc-PTGS2-6:1". Lineage: Eukaryota; Metazoa; Chordata; Mammalia; Primates; Hominidae. The record is from RNAcentral.
GAUGCAGGUAGUGGCUUUUCUCUCCCAGAGCAUAAAAUGACAUCAGAAGACUGAAAUUAUGUACUGGAGAAGCCUUUGCUUCUACAUACUGGAAUGGGAUGGUUAUGCAUACUGGAUGAAUCUAUCUCCCUGACAGCCAUGACUGAGUAAAUCACAAGCCACUUAAAACUAUUACAUAUGUGCUUAGUUCUUAGAGUAGCGAGGACUGAAGAGUUCUAAAGUCAAAGUCGUGGCCCUGUGUGCUGGUUCUGGGAGCAGCGUUCUGCAGAGUAUAGAAGCUGACCUUUACCUCCAGCUGGGUAAAGGUCAUCCCAGGUGGGAUGUCUCAUCAUAAUAUUCUGAAUGCUGCUUCCUAAGGAGUAAAUGUCAUCCUUUAUGAACUCAGCAACACUGAAUAAGACUUUCUUUCUGACAUUUGAGAUAUACUGGGUGCUUACUUGAAGAGUAAGAUUAAUAUUAUCCUUCAGAGACAAGCAAGGACCUUCUUUAUGUA